This 407-nucleotide ribosomal RNA is filed under the name uncultured bacterium. RNAcentral describes it as "bacterial SSU rRNA". It matches the Rfam family "Bacterial small subunit ribosomal RNA", at positions 54 to 507 of the family's 1533-position model. The record is from RNAcentral.
CAUGCAAGUCGAACGAGACCUUCGGGUCUAGUGCGCACGGGUGCGUUAACGCGUGGGAACCUGCCUUUAGGUUCGGAAUAACUCAGAGAAAUUUGAGCUAAUACCGGAUGAUGUCUUCGGACCAAAGAUUUAUCGCCUUUAGAUGGGCCCGCGUUGGAUUAGCUAGUUGGUGGGGUAAAGGCCUACCAAGGCGACGAUCCAUAGCUGGUCUGAGAGGAUGAUCAGCCACACUGGGACUGAGACACGGCCCAAACUCCUACGGGAGGCAGCAGUGGGGAAUCUUGCGCAAUGGGCGAAAGCCUGACGCAGCCAUGCCGCGUGUAUGAUGAAGGUCUUAGGAUUGUAAAAUACUUUCACCGGUGAAGAUAAUGACUGUAGCCGGAGAAGAAGCCCCGGCUAACUUCGUG